RNAcentral lists this unclassified non-coding RNA (300 nucleotides) under fungal sp. RNAcentral describes it as "partial internal transcribed spacer region". The stretch from base 1 to 46 matches the Rfam family "Eukaryotic small subunit ribosomal RNA", at positions 1786 to 1831 of the family's 1831-position model. Lineage: Eukaryota; Fungi. The record is from RNAcentral.
AAGUCGUAACAAGGUUUCCGUAGGUGAACCUGCGGAAGGAUCAUCAAAAAAUUUAUAUAUAUAUAUAUAUAAAAUUUGCACACGAAAUAUAUAUUAUAUAUAUAUAUCUUAUCUCAAGGACAAUUAAAUUGUCUUUUUGAUAACUGUUUUAUAUUUUUCCCUCUGAUUUUUUUUUUUAAAAAAAAUGAGGGAAAAAUUUAAAAAUUUAAAAAAAAACUUUAUAUAUAUCAUUGUCUGAAAUAUAUAUAUAUUAUAUAUAUAAGAGAGAAACAACUUUUAGCAAUGGAUCUCUCGGCUCUU